CAACAUCCACUGAACUGACACUGGAGUAUACCAGGGCGAUAGCAAAUAUGUCCUAAACGGCUCAAAUCAUACGGAAUUAAAGCAGGUUUUAUUAUUUUAUGGCGGGAUAAUUAUCUCUGCAUAACUAACCGAGGAGUCGUUUUUACAGGCAGCCUGCUGUGUGAGGGAUGCAGCCAACAUUACUCGCUGGCACGAGGUUAUGCAACACUCCACGAGACCGCACGCGACACAAAUACAUCACGUAGUAUAAGAAGCAGUGAAUGGCCGGAGAUAGCAGGAGUGACAACAAUGAACACCAAGCCAGGACUUCAGAAAGCCUCAAUGCUCCUCGUUCUCCAAGGGAAAGAAAGGACACACGCAGCCAUUAGCCCACUCUGCUACGAGCACUGCCAGUGAUGUUUGUUGUUGCUCGUGUUGUGCAUAUGAAAGUCGUUGCGUUGGUGUAACAUUUGUCCUUAGAUAACUUCUGCCACAAGACAAUUAUGAUCAAAAUCUUAUUUUUUUAUGCAAAAAGAUAAAGUCAGUGAUUUAGUAGGUGAAUUUAAAACAAAUAAAUAGAAGCUUGUUCUAUAAUGAUUUUAGGUUUGUGCUCUUACAGCUAUUUUUUUACAAAAUAAAUAAAAAAUAAAUAAAUAAAACAUCAAUCUAUGCUCUGUAACUCAUUUCCUGACUUUGGUUGAGUUUCAUUUCUUAAGAAAAACAAAGUACUGUAAACUUUCCACCUUUUAAAAGCUGUGUUAUUUUAAAUGAGCUUUAACCUUCUUCUCUUGGAUUUGGGAGUUUUGGAAUAUUAGAGAGUUUCAGGACAAGGGAUGAGUAUAAAAUAAAGUUUUUAUUUAUCAUGUAAGUCAUGAAUAAAAAGAAAAUGCCAGGAUAGGAUUCUAACUUGGUACCUGCAACAAGAAACUCAGCUUUGAAAAACACUGAGAUCUCUGACUUUGACGAAUGAGCUGCAUGGAGCCAUAACAUAUUUUCCAUCUUUUUAUUAUAGGGGAGAGUGGGGUAAGUUGAGCCAAAGGGUAGGUUGAGUCACCCCCUGUUGCUUGGAAAUGGUAAGAGAAAUUGAUCAUGUGCGCAAAUAUUUAGGAGAUGGGCAUCAAUUCAUGGAGUCUGUGAAGGUUGGAAGCACAUGGGUGAAGGGGCUAGACAUUUAUUUCCAAAAAUCUCAUUUGUCACUCUUGAAAGUAAAUUGUGUUCAGACCAAAAAAGAUAAUUUUGAAUUUGUUUUAUACAUCAAUUGUGGUAUCUAUGAGCUACAACAUGAGGUUAACAGCUCAACUUACCCCGCUCCUAUGGUCAACUUACCCCAUACACGGGGUAAGUUGACCAUAGGAGACCACUUUUUUGCAUGCUUUAUUAUCAAGACAGUUAUGUUUACACCCUGUUGGUUUUCAGGGAUGCACAACAUCUUGAAAUAUAUGCAGAUACACUAGUUAGAGACAAAACUAUGAUUUUGCCUUAAUUUAGCGAUCAAAAAUAUGAAAAAAGGCUCAUCUUACCCCACUCUCCCCUAUUAUAAAAAUUAUCCCCAUCUGCUGUUCUGGAAGAAUGCUGAGAUUCUGUUGUGCUGUGAAGCUUAAAAAAUGAUUUGUAAGGAAACUUCAUCUCACUUUCAACCCUCACGAAGAUAAACUCAUAUCAGGGUUAAAUGUUUCUGUCAGAUCUAAAUUUCCUUCAUAAAACUCAGCUUUGUAUCCUAAAUAACAAAAACACAUGUUACAAAAUCCUGUAGAAAAUGUACUUUGCUGUAAGGCACUGAAAAAUCCAUGUGGUUUACAUCCAGAUGAUACAAACAGCUUCACAGAGACACCAAAAGUUUGCGGGUUGGCGAAUGAUUCGAAAUACGAGGGGCAGUGUAACGCAAUGGAGUCCCCCUCACAGUCUUGUUGAAAAUUUGUUUUUAAAUAAAAGUAAAUGAAAUGUUUAUGUCCUCCAUGAUGUCCCCAUCACAAAAGCACAGGCACAAACUAAGUCACACAAGCACAUUUACAUCAUAACCUUCUCUAUAAUUGAUGUCCUCUUCCCCUUUUUUACCCUGCAACUGUGUCAUAAAGACAGACACCAUGUUAAUAACGUAAUAAUUUCUGUAUUGUAUUACAAACACAUAGCAUCGCAUCACAUUUAUUUAUUCAAUUCAAAGCUUUGUGCACCAAAGCCUCCUGGUGUCUUUGAUAAUCACUCUGCCUGUUUUACAUUUACUGUCCUCUUGAUGGCACAGUAGAGCAAAUGAAGCACAAUAAAGCUUUGGCACAUAAAUCGAACAAUUGGAAAGCUUCUAUGCUUCAAGAGGCUUCAUCUCACCAUCACUACUAUUUACACAAAAAUGUACAAGGCAAAAAUCAAUGUCAAUAAGGCAAGAGUUCCUCAAUAACUCACGAUUCAGCAACACAGCAGUCAUACAACAGAGGGCAGUUCAAUAGUUACCUUUAGUGCCACCAACUCCACAUUCAAUGACAGGCCCAGGCAGCCUUCUUUUAAACUCCCCUAGCCCCUCCCCUGGGCACAUCCAUACACAAAUUAUAGGGGUUUAAGUUACCGUAUGUAAAGUGCAACACAAACUCCUCAAUAAAUUAGACAUUUCACCACAGACAAAGAGGCACUAAUCGCCCCCCAUACAGCUAUGACCAUACCCCUUGAAAACACAAUAAACAGACAAAGUAUCACAAUUUAACCAUACUGGUAUGGUCCGGCGGUCACAUGACACCCCCAAAAGCGCGCCACCUUGCGCUAUUUACCGACAGAUCAGGAAGCGCCCAGGUUUGGCUUGUGAAAUGGCAGCAGGUAAGUACGUUAUGUGUGUUGCGUGUAGUUGUCGAGUGUGUGCCCUCAAACGCCUACAGCGGGGACAAAAGAGUCCAGAUUAACAGGGAAACAGUUGGUUGGAGUGUAGGGGUGUGGGGAAACAGUUAAACAGUUUGACCGAGCUUGGCUUCGCGGGGAACGAGUGCGCUCCCGGCACUUCAGGCGCCGAGAGAGAGAGAGAGACCCGCGCCAAUCGCGGAAUGACGGCGCUCAAAGGGAAAUUCCGACGUAAAGUUAAGCUAGGGUCAAACACACCGCAACACCGAGUUAGGAACCCCCUCGAGAGAUGAAUGUUGCAGACCGCUUGCUUCUCUAGUUUUACCAAUUUUAGUAACGACCGCAGAUAGCGAUACACAGAGCCACGCGCUCAUCCAAAAAGCCACUCUAUAGCCACAACUAAUGCUCCGAACGGCACCUAACUUCAUCAACAGUACAUAUAGGGUCCCAGCCAUAGUACCAGCCACCAAACAAAUUUUUAGCAUUGUCUGAUUUCUUUAGCAAACACUACUCACCCUCUCAUCCAGCAGCCGCGUGUUUGUACUGAGACCUCCGGGCGAGUCCAUGGACUGCUGCGGGGGUGCGCAGCUCAAGGAAGAACAUUUAUGAUCAUUUCCUCAUGGAAAUGCAAUCAGACCGAGACACUAUGGCAGAAGAACUACUGCGUCUGCAGUGCAAAAUGACUAAUAUGAUGAUUACUACUUCAAGGAAAUGAAAAAGUAAUAACUGUAAAUGUUCUUCCUUGAGCUGCACCCCCCCCCCCCACUGUAGACUAUGGACUUACCCGGAGGUCUCAGCACAAACAAGCGGCUGCAGGAAGGGAGUAGGUGAGUUGUGUUCAGUCUCUUUGCAAAAGAAAUCAGGCAAAGUUAAAAAGAUGUUUGGUGGCUAAUACUCUGGCUGGGACCCUAUAUGUACUGUUGAUGAAGUUAGGUGCUGUUCUGAGCAUUAUUUGUGGCUAUAGAGUGAAUUUUUGGUUGAGUGCGUGGCUCUCUGUAUUGAAACCAUUUUACUCUCCUGCUGCGGAGCUAUUAUCACACCACAAGCCUACCUGGCAUGGCUUGCAUUUUAAGGUCUUAAAUUCAACAUUUGAAUAAGGUUUUAAAGUGGCUAAGGUUACACUGCAGGGAAACAUUUCUUCUCUGCAUCACACAGAGAGCCUUGUCCUAAGCAAGGAUAGUAUUUCUUUUCUGCAUCGUUUGGAACGCUCCUUUUUGAAGUCUUGUUUUGAACCCAGGACCAUUUACUCAAAGGCGACUAGACUGACUAUUACACCUGCUCGGUAGACUUCGGCCAAUUUGGUGCCCGAGGCUAGAUUGAUAUGAUUGGCCCAUUUUACUUCAUAGUAAUCACUGAAAUUUUAAAAGGUUUGCCUCGAAUUUUAAAACUGUUUCCAAAUUCAUACACUUUGUUUGCUUUUUUAUAUCAUUAGAAGGCAUCAUAGUGAAUUUUAGUCAAUUUUAUUAAUGUAAAACAAACUACUUAUGGGAGCUUUAGGUGCUAAGGUAUUCUCUUGGUCUUACUUGUUUUUCUUUUCAGUUAGAGAGGGGGUUUGCAUUUCUAACACCAUUUCUAUGUAGGAUCAAGUGCAUAUAUUUAAUUAAGCCCAUUUAAAAACACAUGCCUCAAUGCUCAUAAUCCAUAUCUGUCAUAUAAAGAUACUUUUUUUUCCAAAAAGAUUUACAAUUUGAGUGCACUUCGGAAUGUAGAUAUAAGGCAUACUUUUUAAGUAGAUUGUAUACAUUUUACAUCUUAACAGUCUUGAAUUUUCAGUCAUGCUUUUCUUCUCCCUAUACUUCUACUUCUGCCUCUUCUAUUGAAGAUAUUGUAGGUCUCACACACAAAACCUCGGUUUGACUUUUAAGCCAUUGCAGUACCUCAUAUGACCACCAAGGACCAGUACAGCCUUACAUUAGACUUGAGUACAGCCAGGCCAGAUGACAGGAGGUCGUAAUGACUCAUUCUCUUUAAUGAAUGGUAUAACGCUAAAACUGAAGAGUUACGUUUUCUUUAACUAAUGUAUUACAAUAAAAAGAGUAAAUCUGAGGUAUUUUUGUAGUUGUAAUCCUAAAUGGAUUUAAAAUCCACCUUUCUCUCAUUUAAUGUAGUGCCAAAAUGUUCUGAAGGAUGAAUUAUAAUGUCACUAAUCUCUUGUAAUUUGGCAUUUAAUUCAUGUGAGUCAAGGCCCAGAUUUUGAAAUCUUAGGGUCCAUGGACCAUAACCCUCAUUCAGCCUGCGGUGCAGAGUAAUACAAGAGCCGUACUGAGAAAUUAAUUGGACACCAGCCAUGCUGUAUUGCACAAUGUUUACCAUUGACACAGUACAGUUAAUGUCAAUUACUUGAAGAUGUUCAAACGCACCUUUUCUGUCCUGUUACCCUGCAAACUUGAAUUGCGUAUGCCUGUAUUUGGAAACAUAUAGCCACACUUGCUCGGGGCUUUCUCAAGUGAAUUAGAAUAUUUUUGAAAACAGCCUUUGGACCGUUACAAGGCCAGAAAAAAAGAAAGGAUGCAGACAGUGAAUCGGCCAGUGUUUGCCAGGAAAAACAGGGAGAUUUCAGAGGCAAUGCUGGGGCAGAGGAGGGAACAGUGCCUGUGAGAGUUGAAGGGAAAGAAUGGUUGGUAGAGGAUGAGAGAGAUUUUCCUCCAUGAAUUUUAGGAUGAAAGAUUGGCUUGUGUGUGAGAAGUGUGUGUGUGUGUGUGUGUGUGUCUGUAUGUUUAAGUGAGAAAGAGUGAGUGAAUGCCAAAGAGAGAAAGCCUGGGUGUGUUGAGAUAAGCUUGGGUUGUUGUGAGGUUGUUGUUUUCUGGGCACACACCAUUUGUGCAUGCGCUUGUGUUAAUGUCCUUCUGUGUGUACAUAGAGAUUGUGAGUAGUUGUUGAGUUGUGCAUUGAGACUGCACACAUUACUUUUUGAUAUUUCAACCCUAAAUGGUGCCACUCUCGAUAAGGGUCUCCUGUCUCCUCUCUCCUCCAGUUUGCUGCUCUUUCUCUCUGCCCUUCACAACAUUUCUUUUCUCUGAAACUUAUGGACUUCAAGUUUUCUCCUCUGUUGACAACUUAUUUAUUCUUAGUCUGGUCAAAAAUAGAGUUGGAAUAACUAAUCAGUUAGCUGCUUAAUGGCAUUAUGAAGAAACCGAUACUAUUUUUGCUUUGGCCCUCACAAGGCCGGUAUCACCAUCAUCUUUUCGAAAUGACGUUUUUUGUUCCCAUCAUUAUUAUCUCAUUAUUUUGUUAUCAAUAAGUUGUUGUUUUUGUCAAAAACGCAAACAUCAAAAACAUUGUCAUAUUGGUAUUUUAUAUCAGCCAUUGGCCAACCUGCUCUCUCAUUAUUGGUGAGGUGAUUGGUUGCUGAAAAACAUAUUGGUAGACCACAAGUCUAAAGUCCUCUUAUCCUCAUUAUACUGUGAAUUGUAACAUUUUAUGAUCCUUUUUUUGACCAUGUAACCACAACUUAGAGACACGUUUUACCACAUAAACCUUUAAGAUAGUCCUACUUUAUGUAUUACAAUAAAGCUGGUAGAUCUGUGUUUAACCAUCUGAGCCACAUCAUGAGUGCCAGAUCUGUGAGAUUUUUACAUUUUGUGUGCAAUCCUUGAGUUAAAUUAAAUCAACUUUUUAUGGCUGUGAUGGAGGGCAGAGCAGAGAGACACUGCAUGUAAGAGGCAUCACUUAAACUGCAAGCCAGAUUUGUGGACAUGUAGAAGUUUCAGAGUUCGACUGCUGUGAGUAGGGUGACCAUACGUCCUCUUUUACCCAGACAUGUCUUCAUUUUUGGGGGCUGUCCAGGCUUUGUCUGGGGUUUAUAAAAUCCUUCAAAUGUCUGCGGUUUUGUACAGAAGUUUUGAGUUUGUGUCACAUGUACCUUCUGAGUUAGAAACGCAUAAAAGACAGUCGAUCCGACCCAAAAAACUCUCAAAAUGAACUUCAUGCGACUCCGUGACUCCGCCCCCGCAUGGUUGGGUCCUCUUUUUAGGGAUUCAGAAUAUGCUCCCCCUAGCUGUGAGGAUUUUGAAAAUUAACUUCUAAUUUUUCAGUUUGUCCGGUUUGUGUACUUCAGUAGUGCUCUCUUAUUAUCUUAAUGUUGACUAGACCUCCCAGUUAACUUGCUCUUUCUUUCCCUUUCUUUCACUCAGGCAGCUUUUUUUGGUAAAUAUGAUUAUUUCUCACAGGUGUUAGUGUUUUGGUUACUAUGAAAGUAAUUGGAUCAUUUUGAAGUAUGUGGUAGAGGUAAUGACAAGAUCUCAUGCCACCAAAUCUCACAAUGCUAAAGCGUAAUGACAUUUCUCAUUGAGGUGAUAAACUGUCUCAUGAAAUCACACAAUAAUAAGUUUCCAUCUGCAGUGCACAGUGAUCGGUCCUAUUAUUGCUAAGUCUGUGACUCAGAUGAACAAAUAAACUUCUUUGUCUAUUGAAAUCGUUGUCUACUCAUAGCUUUAAUGUUGGAUCAUGGGGGAAGUUCUGGACUUUUUUUCCCCUUGUAAAAACUCACUCUCAUCUAUUGCAGAGGUGACCCCCGCUGAGCCACACAAAUACCCCCUUGUCGACUGUUUACCAUCACAAUGCAGACACUGUCUCUUUCCCUCGCUGUCAGGAGGACCCAUAUUUAUGUAUUUUCAUUGUAAUUACAUGGCAGUGUUUUUAGAUUUCCAAAAUGCCUCUGUUUCCCCCACUGGUGCUUUUAUCCACGGCUGCAGAUCAAACAGAGCUAUUGCCAACACUUUGCUUCCCCGAGCCACUGAGAAAAAAAAACCCAACCAGUAAACAAAAGAUAAAAUACCCUAAUGAAAGCUGGAGAGAGAGCAAAAUCAACACAAUAAAAGGGUUUGUUGAAUAGUGGCUGGGGAUUGUGUGUUUUCUGAUGCUGUGGUAGUUGUUGGAAUUUUUUAUGUGUGUGAGUAUAUGGGGGGUGUAUUCUCAUCUCUCAAUGUAAAUGACACUUUUUCACAUUAAAAAAGCAGCUGUGUGGAAAUUUUCAUGUUAGAAAGCAUGGUUUACAGCUGUUCAGGAGGGAUCACAAAAAUCAACACAAACUGAAAGUUACUCACAGGAGCUUUAAAACCAAAUGAUGACGGUUUGAUCCCAACUCAUAGAAAGAUUGAUUGUUGUCAUGUAAGCUCUGGUGAAAUUGAAUAUAGGGCCGUUUAUUCUUUAAGGGCCACAUGAACCCUCUUACUGCUGUAAAUACUCAUUUGUACCCCUCUGUAUUCUGAUGAAAAUAUUCCCUGACAUACAGUUUACAUGAUUACCUUCUGGUCUUCUAAAUUAUAUACAAAGUUAUAAAAGAAAAUAAUCUGCACUUUUCUAAAAUUGCUAAAAAGGAAAACUUUCUUUCUACAUUUUGAUCAAAUGAGUUAAAAGUCUGCUCUGUCUCUUUUUUUCUUAGAUUUGAAACCCUGCUGUCCUUUCCUGAUCAACAUGUUUGGACUUCUUCAAUAGGACUGAUAUCACCCUGCCUUGGAAUGAGCAGGAACUAUGUGUGUGUGCUUGUAAGUGCAAUUUUGUUUGUAUAUGUAAUGAUUUUAUUUGGGUCAAUAUAAUCAUGCUUUAAAGCUUUCAAGUUGCACAGAAAACUACUCACUGAGCAUUUUAUUGGUCUAGAAGAGCUCUAAUAGGCGUCUAAAUGUAGCCUAGAUGACUGGUCUAAAAUCAGACUACCACAGGUCUAAAAAUGAAAGUUUUUUAGACAUCUAAAUUUAGACCAAGUUUAGACCAAGUCUUAAUCUGGGCUAUAUCCAUACUACACUGUAUUUUGCUCAACAGCUAUCAUGAUAAUUUUGGUUGAGUACUUGGGGAUCAGUUAUGCAACUCACAGUUGCUUUUUGAGAUAAAAAGUUAUCGAGUAAUGGGUUAAAGUGCAACAUCGAAAUUCUGUCAAGUAAUACAAAGAACCUUGAUGGUUGAAAUUUGGUCCAAAAAAAACCAACUAGAUGUCGAAUAGCUGUCUAUUGCUCAGUGGGUAGACACUUUGUACAGAUUUUGGUGUUCACUGCUGACAAUGAUUUUUUUCUCUUAUGUUGAAUCUUGUUGAGUUAAUUUCAAGAAACCACUCUAAAACCCAUUUUAAACUGCGUAUGUGAGGUGUGUGUGUUGAAUUGCACCACUAGAUGGCAUCCUGAGAGAGGCCUUAUCAUCCCAGCAGCACUGUUCAGUUGGCAGAGGAGGACAAAAUAAAACAAUGCUUAUCUCUGCACACAUGCAUUUAAUACUUGACUUUAACUGAGCUGAUAUAUUUGAUGUACUUGAGGCCUUUUUUGUGGCUCUUUAAUGAAUGGGUCUUAUAGUGUUUAUCUGUUCCUUUGCCAUCAUUUUCUCCACUAAAGUCUUGGGAGCCCUUCUUUUGCUGGUGAUAUAAUUAUAAUAUGUCAAGCCAAGUUUUUUGCCCGGACUUAAGCUUUUAAAAUGCCUGACCUCAAAGCAUAAACCUGCAUUUCCAUUUUGAGACUAAGUUAGCAUUAAAAACCUUCACAUUAGAUAUAUUUUUGUUGGUGCUUUGGGCCUUAAGACAUUUUAUUUAAUGUGAAAUGUUAUAGCCUGUGAUCAUUUGUGCUUUUGCAUUUAUUAGAUUCCUGUAAAACAACUUCUACAGUUGGUUGGUCAGUCCACUACAUGUGUGCAAAAGUUAGAUGUCUCCAUCCUUGACUUGUUACUGCUGUCCAAAAAGGCUUUGACAAAAUCUGCGUUGAGCCUUGAGGAAUUUAAAAAAUGGGGAACUAAUUUAACAUGUUUUUGUGACAAACAGGCUCUAAAGCAGCGAAUAGUCUAUCCCAGAGACAAGUAUAUGCAGUGCAGCAGUGAGGCGUUGGCAGCUCUGUGUGUUUUUGUGUGCAUGUUUGUACAUAUAUGUGUGUGUUGAAUGUUUGUCUUUGUGAGACAGGGCUGGCUGCGUUUGCUGUGCGUGACUGACUAAGAGCAGAGCACCAGGAGCAGACAUCUGUGUAUACUCAUGGACAAAGGCUGCACUGGAAGAGAAAUGCUUCACCACAACAG
Molecule: long non-coding RNA, 9786 nt
Filed under: Xyrichtys novacula (pearly razorfish)
Lineage: Eukaryota; Metazoa; Chordata; Actinopteri; Labriformes; Labridae
Source: RNAcentral